Molecule: non-coding RNA, 5632 nt
Organism: Taeniopygia guttata (zebra finch)
Lineage: Eukaryota; Metazoa; Chordata; Aves; Passeriformes; Estrildidae
Source: RefSeq, a predicted model, not a curated record
AGGGGGGGGGGGGGGGGGGGGGGGGGGGGGGGGGGGGGGGGGGGGGGGGGAGAAAGGGAGGGGAUAGAGGAGAGGUAUAGAGAAAGAGAAGCAGAGAAGAAAUAAAAAGGAAGAGAAAUAAAGAGCCCGACCCGGCGGCAACCUCUCCCACCGAUCGCUGAGGGGCAAAUGGCUCCUGAGGCGAUUCCCGGGGCUUAAAUCCCCUCAGCCCCGCCCCGCGCAGCCGCUCUGGGGCCCGCGCACCUGAGCCGGGCCCGCCCUUCACACCUGAGCCGGGCCCGCCCUUCACACCUGAGCCCGCCCCGCCCCGCCCCGCCCCGCCCCGCCCCGCCCGUAAAUCCCGGCGGAUCCGCGCCCGCUCCGCUUUGGACGGGGGACGCUCAUCCCGGGAUGCGGCGGGACCGGCGCUCGGAGCGCUGUGCGGGCCCUGGGCCGGGGCUGCUGCCGGUGCUGUGCGGAGCUCGCGGCGCUGAGGUGGGGCCGGGAACGGGACCCGGGCCGGGGAAUAUGGGUCCGGGUCCUGCCGGUGUCUGCUGGGGGUCCCGGGGCGAGUGGGCUGCGGGUCCUGGAGCCGCAAGACCGGGGCGGGAUUGGGGCAGGGAUCGGGACAGGAAUCGCCGCGGGGAGGCGGAGCCGCUCCGGGACGGGCGCGGACCGAGCCCGGCGCUGCCGCUCCCGCUCGGACCGCGGCCGGUGCGGGGCUGCGCUCCCGCCGGGGCUCCGGGCAGGUCCCGCCGCGGCCGCGGGGAGCCGGGGCUGUGCCGGGGCCGGGCCCGGCAGGAGGCGGCGCUUUCCCGGAGCCGGCGCUGGAUCGCGGCUGGAAGCGGGCGGGGCGCGGGGACCGCCCGGGCCGGCCCCGGGACCCCUCAGGGGCGCCGCUCCCUCAGCGCCGCCCGAGAGGGGCGCCCUCUGGCGGACACGGAGCGGCGCUGCGAGUGCGGCGGCCCCCGGUGCGCGCUCCCGCCGGGCGGCGGCCCCCGGUGCGCGCUCCCGCCGGGCGGCGGCCCCCGGUGCGCGCUCCCGCCUGCGGAACGCCCGCCGGGGCUCGGUUCUGCUCGGGCCGCUCAUCUGACACCUGCCAGGUGAGGCCUGAUGCUCUCCUUCCUCCCCCCCCCUUCCCUGUGGGUCGCACUCUGCAAUGCAAAACAACUCCGUUUAAAAAGCCAGUGAAAGUUGUUUAAAUUUUAUUUCCAGGUCUUCAGAUGUCCUGAGUAGGAAGGAACACACAAGGGGCACCAAGUUGAACCCUUAUGUUAAAGGCUCAUCUGGGCACUGAACCCACAACCUGGGCAUUUUCAGCACCCUGCUCCAACCAAGCCAGUGUCCGGUCAUGGCAAUGUCCUGCCUGAGAUGGGAAUGCCAAGUGCCAGCAAGGGAAUUCCUAUGGCAAUGCAGCUCCUUCUUUUAUGCUAAAGCUCCUUUACACACCAGCCCCUGGAAUGCCCACAGGGCAGAGCUCCAUGGCCAGCAUCUGACUGUGGAGUAACACAGGUGAACAGUUGUGUGACAGCACAAAACUCUUCCAAUAACCCUGAUUUCCUGUCCUUUCCAGCAUUUCCUUGAUGGCUGCAAAGGUCCUUGUGCCAUGUCCCUUUCCAGGGAGAAAUGAGCAAGACAAGUCCUGAGGGUUCCCUUGGUCCAUGGCCAAAGUUCUUCUGGAGAGUGCCGGGGCUGGUCCCGCCUGCAGAGGGGCGUUUCCUGCAGGUGAGUGUUCACAGCCCAAAACCUCGGUGGGGCUGAGGCCGGGGCUGCUUCUCAGGCCCAGAGCUGCACGGAGCCCUCGGGGACUCCUGCUCCCUGCCAGGAACGUUCCUCGGUGUUCCCGGUGUGUCCCAGCGGGGCGGGAACGCGGGGCGGGAGGAGGCCGAGCCCCAGGAGGGGAAGCAGCCCCUCUUGUCCUUGGCACCUGCAGGGCAGGAGCUGUGCCUCAGUGUCCUGCCCGUGGCAGGCAGCGUGCCAAACGCAGCCCGGGGAUGGGCGCUGGGGUGCCCGGGCAAGGGGGUAGAAUCCACUGAAUUCCAGGAACUCUGUCAGGUGCCCCCAGGGACAUUGGUAGAAUGAACAUUUUGAGGUAAAAAUGAGGCUAUUGGUAGUAGGCAGAUGGAAAACCUUGAGGGGAAACAUUUGGCUGGGGGAUGAGGGUUAUAAAUAACCAAUUCUAUGAAAUAGGAACUUGUCCUUGUCCACUGAGCUUCCUUGGAACCUCUGCUGCUUCCUGACACAGCUGGGAUCAGAUAGGCAGCUCUGCAUGGGAAUACCCCCACUCCAUGAGGCCAUGUGAGGUUAUUCCAGUAGGAAUUCAGCAGGGAAUACAGGGCUAUCAGUACAAUUCCUCUAAACAGCAAAGCUGAUACUGAACCCCAAAUCUGGGCACCACACAGGGAACAAUCUUUGUGCUGCCCUGCCAGCCAAAGCCCUGGGCUGGGAAAUUUCAGCAGCCAAAUUUCUUUUACAAGAAAGCAUUCUUUCUUUACUCUGGAGAUUACCACAAGGUUUACCCUAAACAUGUUCCCUACCUGUAUUGCCCCAUUUCCACCUUAAUACUUCCAUUCUUUACCCUGUGGAUGCUUUCAGUUUCUCCCCCCAGUAAUUUCCCUGCCUGUCCAUAACUGAUUACCAUGAAGUGCAUCCUCUCUGCUACAGAUCACCUGAGAUUUUACCCCUGAAAUUUUCUCUACCUCUCCACCACUGAGUAGCUCAUUUUUACCUCAAAAUAUUAAUUUUCUACCAUGGAGAUUCUCUCAAGUUUUAUCCCCAGAUUUACCCACCUGCCCACAGUGAUUCCCUCAGUUUACCUCAGGAUGCUCCUGCUCUUUCCUAGAGAUAAUCUCACAUUUUACCCCCCAGUUUUACCUACCUGUCCAAUACUGAUUAUCUCCUUUUUACCACAAAAUAUCCAUUCUUUCCUCUACAGAUUAACUCAGAUUUUAUUACCAAAAUGUCCAUUUUGUCCCCUCUUUGCCAACUAGAUUUUAAAACCAAAACCACACAGGUUAUGCCUCUUAUCCCCAAAAUGUUCAUUCUGUCCCCUACGAAUUAUGUCACAUUUUUCCCAAAACCACUUAUUCCUACAUAAUUACCUCAGGGUUACUGAUUACCUAAUUUCUACCUCAAUAUGUUCAUUCUCUGCCCUACAGAUCUUCCCAAGUUUCACCCCCAAAAUUUCCUUGCCUACACCCAGUGAUUGUUUCAGUUUGUCAGUGUUCACACUCUCCCUUGAGAUUAUCUCAAAUUUUACCGGCAAAAUCUUCCUUACCUGUCCACAAUUUAUUGCCUUGUUUUUACCCAAAAAUAUUAUUUCUGAACCCUUAGAUUAUGUCAGGUUUUGCCCCCCAAAAUUCCCCUACCUGUCCACUACUGAUUCCCUCAUUUUUCCUUUAAGUAUUACUUUCUACCUUAUAGUUUUUGUCAAGUUUUACCCCAAAAUUUUCAAUGUGUACCUAGUUUUUACUUCAAAAUGUUCACUCUACAGAUUAUUCUAAUUUUUAACCAAAAGCUUCCCCAUCUGCCCAUAACUGAUUCCCUCAUGUUACCUCAGUAUGUUCAUACUCUCCUCUAGAGAUUAGCUCAGAUUUAGCCCCCAAAUUUGCCCUACAUGCUCAGUACUCAUCACCUCAUUUUUCCCUCAAAGUGUUCAUUUACUCUUGAGAUUUUGUCAAGUUUUGCCUCCAAAAUUUUCCUUGUUUACUACUAAGUACCUCAUUUUUACUCCAAUAUAUUAAUUCUGUCCCUUACAGAUUACAUAGAGUUUUACCCCCAAAAUUUUCCACUCUUUUCUACUCCACAAAUCGGCAUUCUCUCCCCCAAACAUCACCUCAGCUUUUCCCUCAGAAAUGCCACCUUGCUCCCCUCGAUAUCCCCUCACAUUUUCCUACACAAACAGUUCAGUGUCCCCUCCCAGCUGCCCCAGGUUUUCAGCUAAAAAUGUCACCUCUGUCCCCUCUGAGUUAUCCCAGGUUUUCCCAGUUAGGAGCUGCAAGGAAUUCAGGCAGGGCAAAUGACAGCAGGGAACAGCUGUAAAUUCAAAGGCAGAAAGAGAAGAUCUACCAGCAAAGGGGGAAGGUUUCAGAAAACAUUUCUGCAACUAAUAACUAAUAAUUAUUCAUUCCCCAGUGAGAAGAACACAAACUCACAACCAUUAAGGCCUGGCAGUUCCCUGCAGUGAGAGCUCAGCACACAUCCAGAGGCAAUUCCAGCAUCUGAAAGGAAGAAGAAAAAGGGACUGUUUCAUCAACCUCUGAAGCUGACAAGCCCAAAAGCUCUGGAGUCUGUCUGCUCUGGAGCACAAGGAUACUCCCAGGGAUGAGGCACAUUCCCAGCAAACGCUCCCAACACGGCACAGAGGCACCACUGGAGCUCGUGUUGGGGCUGGGAAGGGCUGCCAGGAGGACACAGCCCCCAGCUGGGGUGGCAGGGGCAGUGACAGCAGCAAAUUCCACAGGCUGAUGGCACAACAGAGGGACAAAGACCAGCAAUGCCCACGGCAGCUGCAGGUUUCAUUGUGCUCCCUGUGCUGCCACAUCCCGGCAGGAAAUCUCCAGGGGGGACAGAAACUCCCUGGGUGCACAAAGUGCAGCCUCUGUGCCCCUGAUCCUGCUGGAACUCAGCUGUGGGGCCAGCCCCCAGGGUAAACACUGCCCUGCCUGCAGCAGCCUCAGGCACUGCCCCAUUCUCAGCUCCCCCUGCCCCGGGGCUGCCACCACAUUCCUGACCAGGAGCCAAAGGCCACACCUGCACUGGCACAGGCUCAUCCCUCCAGCCAGCUCCUCUCGUGGCUCCAAAUCCUCCCAAACCUCCCCAUCCGUGCUUUGGCCAGUGCCUGCCCCGAGGCUGUCGCCCAGCCCUGCAGCAUCACACCUGCAAUCCAGGAAGCUUUAAUGCUGGAGUCUGCUGUGCUUCAGUGUUAUUUUCAGGAAGUAACAAACCCACCACAGUGCAAGGGGAAAAAAAGUGAUUUAAGUAAUGUUUUACUCACGCACUCCUCACUUUACCCCUCACAACCACCCCAGCAUGAAACAGACAUUCAGGAAUUAGUGUUCAGUAGCUGCCUUUGGAAUUUUAAGGGAUAUCAACAAAGCCUUGACAGAUAUGUGGGGAAUUCCACAGCACGUUUUCCUUCCCCAUCUGUGUCAGCAUCCAGCACAGUUCCCUGUUCCUGUUUGGUCCCCAGGAGCUGCAAGAGGAAUGUCAGUCGUUGGCUUCGGUCGUUAGUCCAGGAGAUAAUUAAUUCGAAGAUAAUUAAUCUGGUCAGUGGCAGAAGAUCAUCACAGCGAAACAGCAUCUUUGCCACAGGAUAUUUCCACCCCUGUUCUCUGAUCAAGAACUACUUCCCAAACUCAGUGAUUCCAUCUAAACCACAGCAGCACAGUUUGGAAGGACAGAAGUUUUCAGCCUUGUGUGAAGAAAGACAGAAACAUCACUGGGAGAAAAUCCUGACAUUUAAAAUCCUAUUCCUCACUUCUUUGACUAAUCAACCUCUUAACAUCCAGUAUGGAUUGUGCAGAGAAGUUCCUUGGUCCCACCUGGAAACUGAUCUCCCCAAAACAUCCACAAAAGCCAUCAAACAGUUAUUACAACUGAUUCCAUUAAUUACUAUGGAAAAGACAAUACAAAUAAACUGGAAAAAAAUUUG